This 253-nucleotide ribosomal RNA is filed under the name uncultured bacterium. Its description in RNAcentral is "partial 16S ribosomal RNA". It matches the Rfam family "Bacterial small subunit ribosomal RNA", at positions 524 to 776 of the family's 1533-position model. The record is from RNAcentral.
UACGUAGGGUGCGAGCGUUGUCCGGAAUUAUUGGGCGUAAAGGGCUCGUAGGCGGUUUGUCGCGUCGGGAGUGAAAUCCACUGGCUUAACUGGUGGCUUGCUUUCGAUACGGGCAGACUGGAGGUAUGCAGGGGAGAACGGAAUUCCUGGUGUAGCGGUGAAAUGCGCAGAUAUCAGGAGGAACACCGGUGGCGAAGGCGGGUCUCUGGACAGUUCCUGACGCUGAGGCACGAAGGUCAGGGGAGCAAACGGG